RNAcentral lists this ribosomal RNA (1296 nucleotides) under Vibrio parahaemolyticus. Its description in RNAcentral is "bacterial SSU rRNA". It matches the Rfam family "Bacterial small subunit ribosomal RNA", at positions 254 to 1533 of the family's 1533-position model. The record is from RNAcentral. Lineage: Bacteria; Pseudomonadati; Pseudomonadota; Gammaproteobacteria; Vibrionales; Vibrionaceae.
GAGGUAAGGGCUCACCAAGGCGACGAUCCCUAGCUGGUCUGAGAGGAUGAUCAGCCACACUGGAACUGAGACACGGUCCAGACUCCUACGGGAGGCAGCAGUGGGGAAUAUUGCACAAUGGGCGCAAGCCUGAUGCAGCCAUGCCGCGUGUGUGAAGAAGGCCUUCGGGUUGUAAAGCACUUUCAGUCGUGAGGAAGGUAGUGUAGUUAAUAGCUGCAUUAUUUGACGUUAGCGACAGAAGAAGCACCGGCUAACUCCGUGCCAGCAGCCGCGGUAAUACGGAGGGUGCGAGCGUUAAUCGGAAUUACUGGGCGUAAAGCGCAUGCAGGUGGUUUGUUAAGUCAGAUGUGAAAGCCCGGGGCUCAACCUCGGAAUUGCAUUUGAAACUGGCAGACUAGAGUACUGUAGAGGGGGGUAGAAUUUCAGGUGUAGCGGUGAAAUGCGUAGAGAUCUGAAGGAAUACCGGUGGCGAAGGCGGCCCCCUGGACAGAUACUGACACUCAGAUGCGAAAGCGUGGGGAGCAAACAGGAUUAGAUACCCUGGUAGUCCACGCCGUAAACGAUGUCUACUUGGAGGUUGUGGCCUUGAGCCGUGGCUUUCGGAGCUAACGCGUUAAGUAGACCGCCUGGGGAGUACGGUCGCAAGAUUAAAACUCAAAUGAAUUGACGGGGGCCCGCACAAGCGGUGGAGCAUGUGGUUUAAUUCGAUGCAACGCGAAGAACCUUACCUACUCUUGACAUCCAGAGAACUUUCCAGAGAUGGAUUGGUGCCUUCGGGAACUCUGAGACAGGUGCUGCAUGGCUGUCGUCAGCUCGUGUUGUGAAAUGUUGGGUUAAGUCCCGCAACGAGCGCAACCCUUAUCCUUGUUUGCCAGCGAGUAAUGUCGGGAACUCCAGGGAGACUGCCGGUGAUAAACCGGAGGAAGGUGGGGACGACGUCAAGUCAUCAUGGCCCUUACGAGUAGGGCUACACACGUGCUACAAUGGCGCAUACAGAGGGCGGCCAACUUGCGAAAGUGAGCGAAUCCCAAAAAGUGCGUCGUAGUCCGGAUUGGAGUCUGCAACUCGACUCCAUGAAGUCGGAAUCGCUAGUAAUCGUGGAUCAGAAUGCCACGGUGAAUACGUUCCCGGGCCUUGUACACACCGCCCGUCACACCAUGGGAGUGGGCUGCAAAAGAAGUAGGUAGUUUAACCUUCGGGGGGACGCUUACCACUUUGUGGUUCAUGACUGGGGUGAAGUCGUAACAAGGUAGCGCUAGGGGAACCUGGCGCUGGAUCACCUCCUUAAACGAUGAU